Molecule: ribosomal RNA, 645 nt
Filed under: Bacillus sp. (in: firmicutes)
Lineage: Bacteria; Bacillati; Bacillota; Bacilli; Caryophanales; Bacillaceae
Description: bacterial SSU rRNA
Rfam family: Bacterial small subunit ribosomal RNA
Source: RNAcentral
GGAGCUUGCUCCCGGAUGUUAGCGGCGGACGGGUGAGUAACACGUGGGUAACCUGCCUGUAAGACUGGGAUAACUCCGGGAAACCGGAGCUAAUACCGGAUAGUUCCUUGAACCGCAUGGUUCAAGGAUGAAAGACGGUUUCGGCUGUCACUUACAGAUGGACCCGCGGCGCAUUAGCUAGUUGGUGAGGUAACGGCUCACCAAGGCGACGAUGCGUAGCCGACCUGAGAGGGUGAUCGGCCACACUGGGACUGAGACACGGCCCAGACUCCUACGGGAGGCAGCAGUAGGGAAUCUUCCGCAAUGGACGAAAGUCUGACGGAGCAACGCCGCGUGAGUGAUGAAGGUUUUCGGAUCGUAAAGCUCUGUUGUUAGGGAAGAACAAGUGCAAGAGUAACUGCUUGCACCUUGACGGUACCUAACCAGAAAGCCACGGCUAACUACGUGCCAGCAGCCGCGGUAAUACGUAGGUGGCAAGCGUUGUCCGGAAUUAUUGGGCGUAAAGGGCUCGCAGGCGGUUUCUUAAGUCUGAUGUGAAAGCCCCCGGCUCAACCGGGGAGGGUCAUUGGAAACUGGGAAACUUGAGUGCAGAAGAGGAGAGUGGAAUUCCACGUGUAGCGGUGAAAUGCGUAGAGAUGUGGAGGA